This 164-nucleotide unclassified non-coding RNA is filed under the name soil metagenome. Its description in RNAcentral is "partial internal transcribed spacer 1". The record is from RNAcentral.
CACAAAUAUGCAGGCGGGCUGGAACCUCUCGGGGUUACAGCCUUGCUGAAUUAUUCACCCUUGUCUUUUGCGUACUUCUUGUUUCCUUGGUGGGUUCGCCCACCACUAGGACAAACAUAAACCUUUUGUAAUUGCAAUCAGCGUCAGUAACAAAUUAAUAAUUA